Long non-coding RNA from Cucumis melo (muskmelon), 1502 nucleotides. RefSeq lists it as uncharacterized. The transcript is spliced from 2 exons. The record is from RefSeq and is a predicted model, not a curated record. Lineage: Eukaryota; Viridiplantae; Streptophyta; Magnoliopsida; Cucurbitales; Cucurbitaceae.
UUCUUUCUAGAGUACAGAUAAAAGCAAAGUUAUCUCUCUUGAGCCUAUAUUGAGGUAUGCCCAGUUUAUUUGUUAAUCAUCUUUGUGUUUGAUACCAUACCUUAGAUUUUAACUUGUCUUUUAACUUUUUAUACUUAUUUUCUUUUAAAAAACCCUGAAUGUUCAAAAACUAAGGUAUAGUAUUUCGCUCUUAUUCAGUUUUUGUAUUCAAUGCCAUGCAGAUUGACCAUAAAGCUAUGCUAAAUUCCAAUCCUUAUUCUUUAUUUUUUGUUUCAGUUUGUUCUAUUUGCUUUUAAAUGUUUUUGUUAGGGAAGUUAGUUAUAAAUAAAGGACAGGAGAACGUGAAAGGGGAGGAAUAUUUGGUAUGUGAACUAGGGGUUUGAGAGUUAUCUCAAGAUAGGCUUGAGUGUGAUCACAAGAAGGGAAGAGGUUAAAGUGUAUUUUUUGUUUGGUUCUCACACCUUGAGGCAAGGUGUGUUUUAGUGGCCGGUAUUGAUAGUAUUGGUAUUAGAAGAAUAUUAGGAGUACUGUUAGGUAUUUAAGCACCUUGAAGAACCACACCUCAAAAGUUAGCGGUUUGGGUGAGAGAGGCAGAGAGCCCAGUCAUCUAAGUACUACAUUGGUCAUCCCAUUCUAACCAAUGUAGGACAAAGGUAUCCAUUCUUAUGCUUUCUUCUUGUAUGGUACGAAUUUUGUCACUUUCCAUUUCAGGUUGAUUGCGGCUUUGCAAGAGAUCUGUUGGACUUUUUGCUGGAACAACGGAUAGCGAGACGAUAAGCGUGAUGCCAAGUCAUUGAUUUCCAGCACAAUUGAGGAGCAAAUGUAUCUGCCUUGAGCAUCUUUGUUCUCAAAAGCAAGGAUGUGUGAGAGGGCAACAUCAUCAAUGUGAAUAUAUCCUACCCUUCCAAGUGAUUGGAAAGGCUCAGUCUCCCCUGCAUUGUUUCAUAAAACGACACAGUUUAUAUGCUUUCUGAAAACUAAGACUGAAAUAGAAAGCCAUUAAAGUUUCACACACCUUUAAGAAGGCCAAGGACAAUGGAUGCUGUAUAACAUAAAUCCCGCGACAAAUUAGGCCCGAUGAUCACUGAAGGGAGCACAGUUACUAAAUCGAUUCCAUUUUCGUUGCAGAAUUCCCACGCUGCCUUUUCUGCUAGAGUUUUUGCAAGAGCAUACCACAGCUUUUGUUUGAGGUCCCACACAAGGUUUUUACGUAAGAAAUGAGAAACACAUUAAGAAAUCAGUCCAUCAACUUACGCCAUCUUUCAAUCCAUAUAGGCUAUAAAAUUCAAAAUGAUGGUUAAUAGCAGUAGGGAUAUGUUGGAUUAAGUAGCGGGAUUUUCUUUCUAAUAUUCGUAAGUAUCUGGUCUGGACCAACUUGUUCACACUUUGACUACUCUCACAACACAGCCCUACAACCUUACUUAUUUUGAUAGCUAAGAAAAUCGUGACUUAAAUACAUUUGUUUUGUUUUUGGUUUUUAAUAGAACUUUAUAUUUGUAUCA